GCGGUGGAGCAUGUGGUUUAAUUCGAUGCAACGCGAAGAACCUUACCUGGCCUUGACAUACUAGAAACUUUCCAGAGAUGGAUUGGUGCCUUCGGGAAUCUAGAUACAGGUGCUGCAUGGCUGUCGUCAGCUCGUGUCGUGAGAUGUUGGGUUAAGUCCCGCAACGAGCGCAACCCUUUUCCUUACUUGCCAGCACUUCGGAUGGGAACUUUAAGGAUACUGCCAGUGACAAACUGGAGGAAGGCGGGGACGACGUCAAGUCAUCAUGGCCCUUACGGCCAGGGCUACACACGUGCUACAAUGGUCGGUACAAAGGGUUGCUACACAGCGAUGUGAUGCUAAUCUCAAAAAGCCGAUCGUAGUCCGGAUUGGAGUCUGCAACUCGACUCCAUGGAGUCGGAAUCGCUAGUAAUCGCGGAUCAGAAUGCCGCGGUGAAUACGUUCCCGGGCCUUGUACACACCGCCCGUCACACCAUGGGAGUUUGUUGCACCAGAAGUAGCUAGCCUAACUGCAAAGAGGGCGGUUACCACGGUGUGGCC
This 540-nucleotide ribosomal RNA is filed under the name Acinetobacter baumannii OIFC137. RNAcentral's name for it is "bacterial SSU rRNA". It matches the Rfam family "Bacterial small subunit ribosomal RNA", at positions 929 to 1469 of the family's 1533-position model. The record is from RNAcentral. Lineage: Bacteria; Pseudomonadati; Pseudomonadota; Gammaproteobacteria; Moraxellales; Moraxellaceae.